UCUGCCGGGUGGUGUUGCGUUUAAGUUGUCCGGGACAUUGAACGAUGGGGUUACUGCAACUGAUUUGGUUUUAACCGUGACCCAAAUGUUGAGAAAGCAUGGUGUGGUUGGCAAGUUCGUUGAGUUUUAUGGUGAAGGCAUGAGCCAGUUAUCAUUAGCAAAUAGAGAAACAAUUGCAAAUAUGUCUCCUGAGUAUGGAGCUACCAUGGGUUUUUCCCGGUGGACCACGUCACUCUACAAUAUCUUAAAUUGACUGGAAGGAGUGAGGAGACAGUUGCGAUGAUCGAGGCAUAUUUUACGUGCUAACAAAAUGUUUAUCGACUACAAUGAGCCUGAACAAGAGAGCGCACUCAUCUUAUCCGGACUUAGAUCUUGCCAAUGUUGAGCCUGUAUUUCAGGACU
Olea europaea var. sylvestris is the source of this 402-nucleotide long non-coding RNA. RefSeq lists it as uncharacterized. The record is from RefSeq and is a predicted model, not a curated record. NCBI's taxonomy places the organism in Eukaryota, Viridiplantae, Streptophyta, Magnoliopsida, Lamiales, Oleaceae. The transcript is spliced from 4 exons.